GAGCCAGGCAGAGGGGAUGAGGACAAACAGAUGAGGAACGGAGGCCUAAGGAGCAGGGCAGAGGAUGAGGACAAUCAGAUGGGAACGGAGGCCUAAGGAGCAGGGUAAGAGGAUGAGGACAACCAGGCACAGUGAGAGAUCUAAAACAUCAUUGAGGGAACAACAACCUCCCCAAACACCAGUCCAUUGAUCUAGACAGGAUGUCAGACUGGAGAAGAAGAAUCAGAAUGAGAAUCUGCCACACCGACCAAACCCUUCUAUCAGGAAUUAGCACGUAGAGUAAUGCAUGCUGUUAUCAAACAGGAUUUCACUGUGUGAACUCUUAUUAAACAUGUUUGUUACACCUUGCUGUGGGAUGUCUGUUGGCAAGUGUAUAUGUCAUUCUGUAUAAAAACUUGAAGCUGUAA
Molecule: non-coding RNA, 407 nt
Organism: Salvelinus sp. IW2-2015
Lineage: Eukaryota; Metazoa; Chordata; Actinopteri; Salmoniformes; Salmonidae
Source: RefSeq, a predicted model, not a curated record